Molecule: transfer RNA, 66 nt
Filed under: Ochropepla inaequalis
Lineage: Eukaryota; Metazoa; Arthropoda; Insecta; Hemiptera; Membracidae
Description: tRNA-Leu
Source: RNAcentral
UCUAUUGUGGCAGAAAUUAUGCAAUGAAUUUAAAAUUCACUUAUAAAUAUUUUUAUUUCUUUAGAA